CCUACGGGUGGCUGCAGUCGAGAAUCAUUCACAAUGGGGGAAACCCUGAUGGUGCGACGCCGCGUGGGGGAAUGAAGGUCUUCGGAUUGUAAACUCCUGUCAUGUGGGAGCAAAUUAAAAAGAUAGUACCACAAGAGGAAGAGACGGCUAACUCUGUGCCAGCAGCCGCGGUAAUACAGAGGUCUCAAGCGUUGUUCGGAAUCACUGGGCGUAAGGCGUGCGUAGGCUGUUUCGUAAGUCGGGUGUGAAAGGCGGGGGCUCAACCCGCGGAUGGCACAUGAUACUGGGAGCCUAGAGUAAUGGAGGGGGAACCGGAAUUCUCGGUGUAGCAGUGAAAUGCGUAGAUAUCGAGAGGAACACUCGUGGCGAAGGCGGGUUCCUGGACAUUAACUGACGCUGAGGCACGAAGGCCAGGGGAGCGAAAGGGAUUAGAUACCCCAGUAGUC
Molecule: ribosomal RNA, 446 nt
Filed under: uncultured bacterium
Lineage: Bacteria
Description: partial 16S ribosomal RNA
Rfam family: Bacterial small subunit ribosomal RNA
Source: RNAcentral